Molecule: small RNA, 730 nt
Filed under: Pongo abelii (Sumatran orangutan)
Lineage: Eukaryota; Metazoa; Chordata; Mammalia; Primates; Hominidae
Description: retained intron
Source: RNAcentral
CCUCGUCUCUGGCCUGCAGCAUCCCAUCCUGUGCCUGCACCUUCUCAAGGUUCUAUACUCCUGCUGCCUUGUCAGUGAGCGCCUGUGCCGUCUUCUAGGGCAGGAGCCCCUGGCCUUGGAAUCCCUGUUUAUGUUGGUUCAGGGCAAGGUAAAAGUAGUAGAUUGGGAAGAGUCUACUGAAGUGACACUCUACUUCCUCUCCCUUCUUGUCUUUCGGCUCCAAAACCUGCCUUGUGGAAUGGAGAAGCUAGGCAGUGACGUUGCUACUCUCUUUACCCAUUCGCAUGUCGUCUCUCUUGUGAGUGCAGCAGCCUGUCUAUUGGGACAGCUUGGUCAGCAAGGGGUGACCUUUGACCUCCAGCCCAUGGAAUGGAUGGCUGCAGCCACACAUGCCUUGUCUGCCCCUGCAGAGCUCCUCACUGAGGUACAGAUGCAUCUUGGGAUGGAUGGGAAGUAAAGAGAGAGGAACUGGGCAUUUUGGGGAGCCUCUGGACCAGAGGAAUGAAGAAGCAACCCACAGCCUCCCCUCUCAAGCUGCUGUGCCUGUGAUAGCCUUGGAACUUCCCUGCCUGCCCUCACAGGGGAAGGCUAGCCUAAUCAGGGAUAUGUCCAGUUCAGAAAUGUGGACCGUUUUGUGGCACCGCUUCUCCAUGGUCCUGAGGCUCCCCAAGGAGGCAUCUGCACAGGAAGGGGAGCUUUCGCUAUCCAGUCCACCAAGCCCUGAGCCGGA